CCUACGGGAGGCAGCAGUGGGGAAUAUUGGGCAAUGGGCGCAAGCCUGACCCAGCAACGCCGCGUGAAGGAAGAAGGCUUUCGGGUUGUAAACUUCUUUUGUCAGGGACGAAGCAAGUGACGGUACCUGACGAAUAAGCCACGGCUAACUACGUGCCAGCAGCCGCGGUAAUACGUAGGUGGCAAGCGUUAUCCGGAUUUAUUGGGUUUAAAGGGCGUGUAGGCGGGAGCGCAAGUCAGAUGUGAAAACUCAGGGCUCAACCCUGAGCCUGCAUUUGAAACUGUGUUUCUUGAGUGCUGGAGAGGCAAUCGGAAUUCGGUGUGUAGCGGUGAAAUGCAUAGAUAUACCGAGGAACACCAGUGGCGAAGGCGGAUUGCUGGACAGUAACUGACGCUGAGGCGCGAAAGCGUGGGGAGCAAACAGGAUUAGAUACCCCUGUAGUC
This 443-nucleotide ribosomal RNA is filed under the name uncultured bacterium. Its description in RNAcentral is "partial 16S ribosomal RNA". It matches the Rfam family "Bacterial small subunit ribosomal RNA", at positions 338 to 795 of the family's 1533-position model. The record is from RNAcentral.